AUUGAACGCUGGCGGCAGGCCUAACACAUGCAAGUCGAGCGGAGCGGCGGACGGGCGAGUAAUGCCUAGGAAUCUACCUGGUAGAGGGGGAUAACGUCCGGAAGCGGGCGCUAAUACCGCAUACUCUCAGACGAGCCAAGGUCGGAUGAGCUAGUUGGUGGGGUAAAGGCUUACCAAGGCGACGAUCCGUAACUGGUCUGAGAGGAUGAUCAGUCACACUGGAACUGAGACACGGUCCAGACUCCUACGGGAGGCAGCAGUGGGGAAUAUUGGACAAUGGGCGAAAGCCUGAUCCAGCCAUGCCGCGUGUGUGAAGAAGGUCUUCGGAUUGUAAAGCACUUUAAGUUGGGAGGCGUUACCAACAGAAUAAGCACCGGCUAACUUCGUGCCAGCAGCCGCGGUAAUUC
Molecule: ribosomal RNA, 407 nt
Filed under: uncultured bacterium
Lineage: Bacteria
Description: partial 16S ribosomal RNA
Rfam family: Bacterial small subunit ribosomal RNA
Source: RNAcentral